UUAAAUCCAAUUUCAGAAUCCUUAACUCUUGAAGGAAGGAACGACGUCUCCAGCCGCCCUUCUCCCUCUUCUCCGGCGAAAUCGCUUCCACCUCGACUGAAUUUCGGAGUCCCGUCGGCGGUUACUUCCUUCUCUAUCGCAUUCUCUUCUUUCGUCGAGCUCGGAGGAGCUCUCGGCUCUCCGUCGCCGCCUCCGGCGGAUUCGCCACCGUCGAGCUCUCUCUCCAAACGAAGUCGCCGACAGAGAAGGUGUCGCCUUUCACUCUCCGUCUCCCUCUCUGUUUUUUUUUUCUUUUCUCCGCCGGGAAUCUUCCUCCGGAGACCGCAGCGCCGCCGCCGAACAAGUGUCGGGGAGCUCCUUGCCUUCGGAGCUGCUGCGUCGCUGCCCCGUCUGUCGGAUUCGCGUGAGGCAGCUCCCUCCUCGGUCUUCUCCGUAAUCCCGUUAUCACUGGACAGCCUUCCCCCUAAGCUAAGUCUUCUAACUUAGCUAUUUUACUUAGGCCUCUCAAUGGCAGUAGCUAAUACUUGGUGUUGGGAGUCUAAUUGAGUUUGAUGAAGGGGCCUAUCCUUUGAGUCCAAAUUCUCAACACUUUACUGGAAUUUUCAUCUUCAAAGCAAUUGUGAUUUGCUUAAGUUAUUGAGGCUAAUGGCUUGGUCCUUGUUCCAAAAUCCUUGCUACUUAUUUCCAAAUUUUGAGCAUCUAAGGUUCUAAGUUCUCAUCUAGAGCUUGCUAUGUGAAAUCUAUAUGAAUGCUAUUUACGUAAAGGAUGUUGGGGAGAAUUACCUUGCUUUGGUGAUUCCUUAAUUGUUGGGCAGCUCAAGAGCUUCCUCCCUCUCCUCUCAUUCCUUGCUACUCUUUGCCGAGAAGUUUCUAAGUGGUAAAAAGGUGAAGCAAGAGGUGUGGUUAAGAGACAACUCAUGCUAUCUCUAGGAGACUACUAAUUGACUCCUUGGCAUGGAGUGGGGAUCAAGAAUCCAGAUGUGUGUAGAGAGGAUCCUCAAUGAAGAUUUGUAGUUAUCUCUUUGCUAAUUUUGGUUUGAUGAUGUAGAGUGACCUUUGUAAAGAAGUUGUACUUAUUCCCAUUAAAUCCUCAUUUCCAUUUA
Molecule: non-coding RNA, 1103 nt
Organism: Salvia hispanica
Lineage: Eukaryota; Viridiplantae; Streptophyta; Magnoliopsida; Lamiales; Lamiaceae
Source: RefSeq, a predicted model, not a curated record